UCUCCGUAGGUGAACCUGCGGAGGGAUCAUUACUGAGUGAGGGCUUCGGUCCGACCUCCAACCCUUUGUGAACCAAACUUGUUGCUUCGGGGGCGACCCUGCCGCUUCGGCGGUGCGGCGCCCCCGGAGGCCAUUAACCACUGCAUCAUUGCGUCGGAGUUAAAGUAAAUUAAACAUAACUUUCAACAACGGAUCUCUUGGUUCUGUCAUCUAUGUAGAACGCAGC
Molecule: unclassified non-coding RNA, 226 nt
Filed under: uncultured fungus
Lineage: Eukaryota; Fungi
Description: sequence contains ITS1, 5.8S rRNA gene
Source: RNAcentral